Molecule: long non-coding RNA, 2028 nt
Filed under: Olea europaea subsp. europaea
Lineage: Eukaryota; Viridiplantae; Streptophyta; Magnoliopsida; Lamiales; Oleaceae
Source: RNAcentral
CAUCAGCUCAACGACAUAUUUCUUGUCCAGGAGAAGCAAAAAAGAAUUCAAAGAUAGUGUCUGCAGUACUAGUCGAACGGUCAAAAUAAUUGCUAAACAACAAUUCUUGCACAGAACCGUAGAGCGGAAGGACUUUGCUUCAUUCAUCUGCCAAUGUGUCAUCCUCAGGAGACGAUGGAUCUACACUGGGGGCAGCAGGUGCCAGGUGGUGAUGUUGCUGCUGGAUUAUUAUCAGUUAUCCAAAAUGGAGGAAUUCUUUUAUCGUCAUCCUUCAUUCUCUUAGCAUACUUGUUGAUGCAAAAACCUGCAUCAUCUUUUCCAACAAAUGCAGACUCCACCACUUCCAUGUCAAACAAAUCAUCCGUGACACUUCGUACUAGGUAUGUCCGAGGAAACAAAUUUGACUUUGGCAACAGUUUUAGGCUCUAGGAAAGGUUUCACAACCUGAAAUGCAAAGGUGAGAGUUACUUUAAAAAAAUAGUAACCCCGAAAAAGUAAGUUAUCUAAACAUGAUUGUUGAAGCAAACCAUUAUAACAGAGUUCUAAAUGAAAGAUAAUGUGAUGAGAUGAAUGAACAUUUCCAAGUAAACUAAGAAAAAUAAGAAAUAAGGGAAAAUGCCGUCCAAAAUGGUUCGAAUAUCUUUGGUGGAUCAAAUAGAAUUGCGAGUCCCAGUCUCUCGGAAGGAUAUGAGCUGUUUCCCUUGUCACUUUUAUUGACAUGUGGGAUAAAUUGAAGCCAUGUAAAUCAAUCAACCGGACCAGCUGCUCUUGGUCUUCAGGGAGAUCUAGAAUUGCAUUCUCCAUGCAAUAACAAAUACUUAAUCUGUCCUGAUGAUUUUGUGUUCUGCACUGAUAUAAAACUAGAAAACGCUGAGUAAAAAUCUAGGACAAAGUGCAUCUUUGCUAAAAGCUCAAAGUUACAAUUAAACAAGAUAAUAAUUUUUUUUUUUUUUUUUUUUUUUUUUGGGUCAAAGUUGGAAAUAAGUAAGCUAUGUUUAAGAAAAGGAGGAAUUAUCAUAUUUGACCUGACAUCUAGGCCUCAUGAACAAAACAGGCCUCCCGUGCUUAUCUUUAUGGAAAGAUGUUACAUGUGCUAAUACUUUUGUACAAACUUUGUUACUUACACUCACAAUGGGAAGGUGGGGUCUACAUGUCAGAAUUAUUUAAUCCAUGUGGGGAUCGCAUGUAUGUGAGAGUGAGUAGAAGCUUUUGUCAACCAAAGUUUGUACAAAUAUCUCAAUCCAUUUUUAUAACUCGCCCUGUAUAUUUUCCAGUUUCUGCCUCCAUCACAACAUCUCCCUUCAUCGCAAAUUAAGAAACGCUAGCGGAGUAUAUAUUUUGAGUCUUUCACAACCAUGAUUCCAUGAACGCUCAAAAGCUUGAAAAAUCUACCGGCAAACGCACAAGAGAACAGAGAACUCCAGACGUGGAUGCUAACAAUGCAUGGUCAUUAUCCAGCGAAUUUCUUCAGGUUUGUAUUCCUUUCGCCACUUUAGGGUCGCUUUAAGCAUUUUAACAGCCUUAUUAACGUUCCAGUUUCGUGCCCUUAACUAUCUUGAAAUCGAUGCAUCGGAAUAAAAGGGCUAAUUUACGAAACUGUGGCCCUAUUAAACUUCUCAGUUCUCACCUCGUUAAUCUGAAAAUAUGGGAAAGUAUAUAAGCAUGAAAUAAUAGGUUUUUCAACAACGGUUUUAGGACUGAAAUACCUUUCCCUGCUUCAAUUCUGGAGCCAAAGAACCGUCGCAGCAAUUUGGAGCUGUUUUAUUUAACUCAGAGCUCAUUAUUCUCAAUGCUUCGGUAGGAACUAUUCUCCCAAGUAAUUAAGGGGGUGUAUUCAAUUGGAACUUUUAAAAACUUUGAUAGGCUUUUUUUAAGCGAUGAGUUUCGUGGAUUUCGUGGAUCUUUUAUAGAUUUGUAUGGAAUUAGUGGAAAUCUUUCGUAGACUUCCAUGCACUUUCAUUUUAAAAUUUUUAUAGACUUUUGUAGAAUUCAAAAGAUUUUUGAAAACUUUUAUUUAAAAUAGAAUUC